AUUGAACGCUGGCGGCAGGCCUAACACAUGCAAGUCGAGCGGAUGAAGGGAGCUUGCUCCUGGAUUCAGCGGCGGACGGGUGAGUAAUGCCUAGGAAUCUGCCUGGUAGUGGGGAUAACGUUCGGAAACGGGCGCUAAUUCCGCAAACGUUCCUGGGGAGAAAGGGGGGGAUUUUUGGACCCCACGGCAUCAGGUGGACCUAGGUCGGAUUAGCUAGUUGGUGGGGUAAAGGCCUACCAAGGCGACGAUCCGUAACUGGUCUGAGAGGAUGAUCAGUCACACUGGAACUGAGACACGGUCCAGACUCCUACGGGAGGCAGCAGUGGGGAAUAUUGGACAAUGGGCGAAAGCCUGAUCCAGCCAUGCCGCGUGUGUGAAGAAGGUCUUCGGAUUGUAAAGCACUUUAAGUUGGGAGGAAGGGCAGUAAGUUAAUACCUUGCUGUUUUGACGUUACCAACAGAAUAAGCACCGGCUAACUUCGUG
This 483-nucleotide ribosomal RNA is filed under the name uncultured bacterium. RNAcentral's name for it is "partial 16S ribosomal RNA". It matches the Rfam family "Bacterial small subunit ribosomal RNA", at positions 30 to 507 of the family's 1533-position model. The record is from RNAcentral.